UACGUAGGGGGCGAGCGUUGUCCGGAUUCAUUGGGCGUAAAGCGCGCGCAGGCGGCUCAGAGAGCCCGGCGUGAAAGCCCCCCGGCUCAACCGGGGGAGGUCGUCGGGGACCUGUGGGCUAGAGGCCGGUAGGGGCGAGGUGGAAUUCCCGGUGUAGUGGUGGAAUGCGUAGAGAUCGGGAGGAACACCAGUGGCGAAGGC
Molecule: ribosomal RNA, 201 nt
Filed under: uncultured bacterium
Lineage: Bacteria
Description: partial 16S ribosomal RNA
Rfam family: Bacterial small subunit ribosomal RNA
Source: RNAcentral